This 1435-nucleotide ribosomal RNA is filed under the name Tsukamurella pulmonis. RNAcentral describes it as "bacterial LSU rRNA". It matches the Rfam family "Bacterial large subunit ribosomal RNA", at positions 1 to 1378 of the family's 2925-position model. The record is from RNAcentral. Lineage: Bacteria; Bacillati; Actinomycetota; Actinomycetes; Mycobacteriales; Tsukamurellaceae.
GUGUUGUAAGUGUCUAAGGGCGCACGGUGGAUGCCUUGGCGCAAGGAGCCGAUGAAGGACGUGGGAGGCUGCGAUAUGCCUCGGGGAGCUGUCAACCGAGCUGUGAUCCGAGGAUUUCCGAAUGGGGAAACCCAGCACCAGUCAUGUGGUGUUACCCGCCGUUGAAUAUAUAGACGGUGUGGAGGGAACGAGGGGAAGUGAAACAUCUCAGUACCCUCAGGAAGAGAAAACAAUAGUGAUUCCGUGAGUAGUGGCGAGCGAAAGCGGAUGAGGCUAAACCAUGCACAUGUGAUACCGGGUAGGGGUUGUGUGUGUGGUGUUGUGGGGUUCAUCUUUCCAGCUCUACCUGGCUGGACAGCAGUAAGAAAGUGUCAUGUUAGGUGAAGUGGCCUGGAAUGGUCCGCCGGAGAGGGUGAGAGUCCCGUAACUGAAAACGUGGUGCCUGUUGUGAUGGAUACCCGAGUAGCAGCGAGCCCGUGGAAUUUGCUGUGAAUCUGCCGGGACCACCCGGUAAGCCUGAAUACUACCUUGCGACCGAUAGCGGACAAGUACCGUGAGGGAAAGGUGAAAAGUACCCCGGGAGGGGAGUGAAAUAGUACCUGAAACCGUGUGCUUACAAUCCGUCAGAGCCCUCGUUGUGGGGUGAUGGCGUGCCUUUUGAAGAAUGAGCCUGCGAGUCAGUGCUCGGUGGCGAGGUUAACCCGUUGUGGGGUAGCCGUAGCGAAAGCGAGUCCCGAAUAGGGCGUUUGAGUCGCCGGGUCUGGACCCGAAGCGGAGUGAUCUACCCAUGGCCAGGGUGAAGCAGCAGUAAGAUGUUGUGGAGGCCCGAACCCACUUAGGUUGAAAACUGAGGGGAUGAGCUGUGGGUAGGGGUGAAAGGCCAAUCAAACUCCGUGAUAGCUGGUUCUCCCCGAAAUGCAUUUAGGUGCAGCGUCACGUGUUUCUUGCCGGAGGUAGAGCUACUGGAUGGCCGAUGGGCCCUCACAGGUUACUGACGUCAGCCAAACUCCGAAUGCCGGUAAGUGAGAACGUGGCAGUGAGACUGCGGGGGAUAAGCUUCGUAGUCGAGAGGGAAACAGCCCAGAUCGCCGGCUAAGGCCCCUAAGCGUGUACUAAGUGGAAAAGGAUGUCCGGUCGCGAAGACAACCAGGAGGUUGGCUUAGAAGCAGCCACCCUUGAAAGAGUGCGUAAUAGCUCACUGGUCUAGUGGCUGGGCGCCGACAAUGUAGCGGGGCUCAAGUACACCGCCGAAGCCGCGGCACUCACAGUUUUGACUGUGGGUGGGUAGGGGAGCGUCGUGCAGCCGUAGAAGCAGCAGGGUGACCUAGUUGUGGAGGCUGUGCGAGUGAGAAUGCAGGCAUGAGUAGCGAAUGACAAGUGAGAAACUUGUCCUCCGGAUGACCAAGGGUUCCUGGGCUAGGUUAAUCCUCCCAGG